Molecule: ribosomal RNA, 411 nt
Filed under: uncultured bacterium
Lineage: Bacteria
Description: bacterial SSU rRNA
Rfam family: Bacterial small subunit ribosomal RNA
Source: RNAcentral
AGAGUUUGAUCCUGGCUCAGAACGAACGCUGGCGGCAGGCUUAACACAUGCAAGUCGAGCGCCCCGCAAGGGGAGCGGCAGACGGGUGAGUAACGCGUGGGAAUCUACCCAUCUCUACGGAAUAACCCAGGGAAACUUGGACUAAUACCGUAUACGCCCUUCGGGGGAAAGAUUUAUCGGAGAUGGAUGAGCCCGCGUUGGAUUAGCUAGUUGGUGGGGUAAGGGCCUACCAAGGCGACGAUCCAUAGCUGGUCUGAGAGGAUGAUCAGCCACAUUGGGACUGAGACACGGCCCAAACUCCUACGGGAGGCAGCAGUGGGGAAUAUUGGACAAUGGGCGAAAGCCUGAUCCAGCCAUUCCAUAGGGAGUGAUGAAGGCCCUAGGGUUGUAAAGCUCUUUCAACGGUGAAGA